GUGAGGAAUUUUCCGCAAUGGGCGAAAGCCUGACGGAGCAACGCCGCGUGAGGGAUGAAGUCUCUAGGGAUGUAAACCUCUGUUGGGAGGGACGAAGAUCUGACGGUACCUCCUGAGGAAGCCCCGGCUAACUACGUGCCAGCAGCCGCGGUAAUACGUAGGGGGCAAGCGUUAUCCGGAUUUACUGGGCGUAAAGAGCGCGUAGGCGGUUCCGUAAGUUGGUUGUGAAAGUUCGAGGCUCAACCUCGAAACUGCGUCCAAUACUGCGGGGCUGGAGUGCAAGAGAGGCAAGUGGAAUUUGCGGUGUAGUAGUGAAAUGCGUAGAUAUCGCAAGGAACACCAGUGGCGAAGGCGGCUUGCUAGCUUGUAACUGACGCUGAGGCGCGAAAGCUAGGGGAGCGAACGGGAUUAGAAACCCGAGUAGUCC
Molecule: ribosomal RNA, 427 nt
Filed under: uncultured bacterium
Lineage: Bacteria
Description: bacterial SSU rRNA
Rfam family: Bacterial small subunit ribosomal RNA
Source: RNAcentral